CCUACGGGGGGCAGCAGUAGGGAAUAUUGCUCAAUGGGGGAAACCCUGAAGCAGCAACGCCGCGUGGAGGAUGAAGGUUUUCGGAUUGUAAACUCCUUUUGUUAGAGAAGAGAAUGACGGUAUCUAACGAAUAAGCACCGGCUAACUCUGUGCCAGCAGCCGCGGGAAUACGGAGGGUGCAAGCGUUACUCGGAAUCACUGGGCGUAAAGAGCGCGUAGGCGGGAUCGCAAGUCAGAUGUGAAAUCCUAUGGCUUAACCAUAGAACUGCAUUUGAAACUGUUAUUCUAGAGUAUGGGAGAGGUAGGUGGAAUUCUUUGUGUAGGGGUCAAAUCCGUAGAGAUCACGAGGAAUACUCAUUGCGAAGGCGACCUGCUAGACCAUACCUGACGCUGAUGCGCGAAAGCGUGGGGCGCAAACAGGAUUAGAUACCCUGGUAGUC
This 440-nucleotide ribosomal RNA is filed under the name uncultured bacterium. Its description in RNAcentral is "partial 16S ribosomal RNA". It matches the Rfam family "Bacterial small subunit ribosomal RNA", at positions 338 to 795 of the family's 1533-position model. The record is from RNAcentral.